RNAcentral lists this ribosomal RNA (253 nucleotides) under uncultured bacterium. RNAcentral describes it as "partial 16S ribosomal RNA". It matches the Rfam family "Bacterial small subunit ribosomal RNA", at positions 524 to 776 of the family's 1533-position model. The record is from RNAcentral.
UACGUAGGGGGCGAGCGUUGUCCGGAUUUACUGGGCGUAAAGAGCGCGUAGGCGGAAAUUUAAGCGUGGCCUGAAAGCCCCCGGCUCAACCGGGGAGUGCGGCUGCGAACUGGGUUUCUUGAGGACGAUAGAGGAGAGUGGAAUUCCUGGUGUAGCGGUGAAAUUCGUAGAUAUCGGGAGGAACACCAGUGGCGAAGGCGGCCACCUGGACAGAUACUGACGCUGAGGUGCGAAAGCGUGGGGAGCAAACAGG